GACGAACGCUGGCGGCGUGCUUAACACAUGCAAGUCGUGGGCACCAGCAAUGGUGACCGGCGAACGGGUGCGUAACACGUGAGCGACCUACCGAUUUGUGGGGGAUAGCCGGCCCAACGGCCGGGUAAUACCGCAUACGCCGAGCUUGCCGCAUGGCUUGCUCGGGAAACCUCCGGGGCAAAUCGAGGGGCUCGCGGCCUAUCAGCUAGUUGGCGAGGUAAUGGCUCACCAAGGCGACGACGGGUAGCUGGUCUGAGAGGAUGGCCAGCCACAUUGGGACUGAGAAACGGCCCAGACUCCUACGGGAGGCAGCAGUGGGGGAUCUUGCGCAAUGGCCGAAAGGCUGACGCAGCGACGCCGCGUGUGGGAUGAAGCUCGUUC
RNAcentral lists this ribosomal RNA (381 nucleotides) under uncultured bacterium. RNAcentral describes it as "bacterial SSU rRNA". It matches the Rfam family "Bacterial small subunit ribosomal RNA", at positions 28 to 420 of the family's 1533-position model. The record is from RNAcentral.